RNAcentral lists this ribosomal RNA (647 nucleotides) under uncultured bacterium. RNAcentral describes it as "bacterial SSU rRNA". It matches the Rfam family "Bacterial small subunit ribosomal RNA", at positions 202 to 842 of the family's 1533-position model. The record is from RNAcentral.
UGGCUAUGCUACCGCUUUUGGAUGGGCCCGCGGCGCAUUAGCUAGUUGGUGGGGUAAAGGCUUACCAAGGCAAUGAUGCGUAGCCGAACUGAGAGGUUGAUCGGCCACAUUGGGACUGAGACACGGCCCAAACUCCUACGGGAGGCAGCAGUAGGGAAUCUUCCACAAUGGGCGAAAGCCUGAUGGAGCAACGCCGCGUGGGUGAAGAAGGUCUUCGGAUCGUAAAACCCUGUUGUUAGAGAAGAAAGUGCGUGAGAGUAACUGUUCACGUUUCGACGGUAUCUAACCAGAAAGCCACGGCUAACUACGUGCCAGCAGCCGCGGUAAUACGUAGGUGGCAAGCGUUAUCCGGAUUUAUUGGGCGUAAAGGGAACGCAGGCGGUCUUUUAAGUCUGAUGUGAAAGCCUUCGGCUUAACCGGAGUAGUGCAUUGGAAACUGGGAGACUUGAGUGCAGAAGAGGAGAGUGGAACUCCAUGUGUAGCGGUGAAAUGCGUAGAUAUAUGGAAGAACACCAGUGGCGAAAGCGGCUCUCUGGUCUGUAACUGACGCUGAGGUUCGAAAGCGUGGGUAGCAAACAGGAUUAGAUACCCUGGUAGUCCACGCCGUAAACGAUGAAUGCUAAGUGUUGGAGGGUUUCCGCCCUUCA